CUGAGACUUAAAGUCUCCUGAAGGAACGUUGAAGACGACGACGUUGAUAGGCCGGGUGUGUAAGCGCAGCGAUGCGUUGAGCUAACCGGUACUAAUGAACCGUGAGGCUUAACCUUACAACGCCGAAG
Molecule: ribosomal RNA, 128 nt
Filed under: Salmonella enterica
Lineage: Bacteria; Pseudomonadati; Pseudomonadota; Gammaproteobacteria; Enterobacterales; Enterobacteriaceae
Description: partial 23S ribosomal RNA
Rfam family: Bacterial large subunit ribosomal RNA
Source: RNAcentral